AACGAACGCUGGCGGCAGGCCUAACACAUGCAAGUCGAGCGGAUCCUUCGGGAUUAGCGGCGGACGGGUGAGUAACGCGUGGGAAUAUGCCCUUCUCUACGGAAUAGCCUCGGGAAACUGGGAGUAAUACCGUAUACGCCCUACGGGGGAAAGAUUUAUCGGAGAAGGAUUAGCCCGCGUUGGAUUAGGUAGUUGGUGGGGUAAUGGCCUACCAAGCCUACGAUCCAUAGCUGGUUUGAGAGGAUGAUCAGCCACACUGGGACUGAGACACGGCCCAGACUCCUACGGGAGGCAGCAGUGGGGAAUCUUAGACAAUGGGGGAAACCCUGAUCUAGCCAUGCCGCGUGAGUGAUGAAGGCCUUAGGGUUGUAAAGCUCUUUCAGCUGGGAAGAUAAUGACGGUACCAGCAGAAGAAGCCCCGGCUAACUCCGUGCCAGCCGCCGCGUAA
RNAcentral lists this ribosomal RNA (448 nucleotides) under uncultured bacterium. RNAcentral's name for it is "partial 16S ribosomal RNA". It matches the Rfam family "Bacterial small subunit ribosomal RNA", at positions 29 to 522 of the family's 1533-position model. The record is from RNAcentral.